CCCGCUCAGAAACUCAAAGGAAUUGACGGGGCCCGCACAAGCGGUGGAGCAUGUGGUUUAAUUCGAUGCAACGCGAAGAACCUUACCUGGUCUUGACAUCCCGGAGACCCUUAGGAAACUAGGGGGUGCUUCCAUCUGGAAGAAUCUGGAGACAGGUGCUGCAUGGCUGUCGUCAGCUCGUGUCGUGAGAUGUUGGGUUAAGUCCCGCAACGAGCGCAACCCUUGCCUUUAGUUGCCAGCAGUUCGGCUGGGCACUCUAAAGGGACUGCCGGUGUUAAACCGGAGGAAGGUGGGGAUGACGUCAAGUCCUCAUGGCCUUUAUGACCAGGGCUACACACGUACUACAAUGGCCGAUACAAAGGGCAGCGACACUGCGAGGUGAAGCCAAUCCCGUAAAAUCGGUCUCAGUCCGGAUUGGAGUCUGCAACUCGACUCCAUGAAGUUGGAAUCGCUAGUAAUCGUGGAUCAGCAUGCCACGGUGAAUACGUUCCCGGGCCUU
This 499-nucleotide ribosomal RNA is filed under the name uncultured Desulfobulbus sp. RNAcentral describes it as "bacterial SSU rRNA". It matches the Rfam family "Bacterial small subunit ribosomal RNA", at positions 888 to 1382 of the family's 1533-position model. The record is from RNAcentral. Lineage: Bacteria; Pseudomonadati; Thermodesulfobacteriota; Desulfobulbia; Desulfobulbales; Desulfobulbaceae.